Molecule: long non-coding RNA, 1355 nt
Filed under: Gossypium raimondii (Peruvian cotton)
Lineage: Eukaryota; Viridiplantae; Streptophyta; Magnoliopsida; Malvales; Malvaceae
Description: long non-coding RNA (GRAI_LNC007292)
Source: RNAcentral
CUAAUAUCGCACCCGAGGCAUCCACGAGGAAAGGAAAAGAAAAAGUGGACGAGGAAUAGACACGGGAAUUACGGUUUGUAUCACUAUAAUUCAAACUUUAUUAUUAUUAAAUGUUUAAUUUGCUAAUUAUGUGUGGUAAGUAUUUUAAGGUAAGUGUUUAAUAAAUGAUAAAUUUACAAUGUGAUAAUGGAAUUGAAACCGAUAUUGAAUUAAAUUAUGGAAUACUGGAUAUUGUUUGAGUACUGCGUGAAAUGUGAAAAUACUGAAAAUUUGUUACGUAUAAUGUAUUGAAUUGUGAAAUUACUGUAGUAGUGAUUACUGCAAUACUGUGAAACUGAUUGAAAUAAGGAAUUUAUAAUUGAUACUGAACUAAGAUGAAAAAUUGUACUGAAAGUGAAUUAAAUACCCUAUUAACUAGUCGGGCUAGUCGGAUAUAGUUGGCAUGCCAUAGGAUAUGGAAGAGUACGGUGUAUUUGUCGGCUUACUGAUUAGGCACUUAUGUGCCGAUUACUGUUACUGUUACCAAAUCGGCACUUUGUGUGUCGAAAUACUGUUACCGUUACUGUUACAGAUUCAGCACUUUGUGUGUUGAAUACUGUUACUUUUACUGUUACUGUUACCGUUACUGAUUACUGUUUACUGGUGUGUUUGGUUGGAAUCCGUGUAUCCGCCGAGUCCGAGCCAAGUUAAUAGGGAUAAAUGAAAUAAAUUUACUGAUAAAACUAAUCUCGAAUGAUAUAUUAUAUGUGAAGAGUGAAAUUUGAAAUAAAGAAAGAAAAAAAAAGAAUGAUAUUUAUAUAUAAUUAAUUGCUAAUAUUAAAGAUUGAAUUGUUUAUUAGUAGUGAUAAUUGUGAUGAAAAGUAUGUGUGUGAUUUAAUGCAUUUAAUUAUAAAUUGAAUUAUAGUGAUACCACUGAGUAUAUGCGUACUCAGCAUACGGUUGCUUCCAUGCGCAGGUUGUAAAGGUCAAGUACUGAUCCAGCAUCCAAAACCAGACCCGACUUCAGCAAACUUUUGGUGAUGUAUAUUUUCCUUGGUAAUGUGGCAUGUACAUGGGAUGUGUAUAAAUGUUAUUAUGUUUUAGUAUGAAUGAUUAAAAAUGUUAGUAGUAUAAGUUUAUGAAUUAUAAUGAAAGAAGUUUAUCGAUCUUUAUUUAAUUUAGUAUAUUGUUAAAUUUAAAUUGAUAUUAUGUUGAUUAAGUUGAUUAGAAAGUAUUUGGAAUAGAAAUUGAGAAUGUGAAAUGCAUUGGUUGAAUUGGUUGUGAUUUGAAAAUGAAAUGGUUUUAAUUGCAGGGGGUUUUAUGUAAAAACAAGCAGAAAUGUUGCCGAAAUUUAAAAAAAAAAAAAAGAAUGAAGU